RNAcentral lists this ribosomal RNA (253 nucleotides) under uncultured bacterium. RNAcentral describes it as "partial 16S ribosomal RNA". It matches the Rfam family "Bacterial small subunit ribosomal RNA", at positions 524 to 776 of the family's 1533-position model. The record is from RNAcentral.
UACAGAGGUCUCAAGCGUUGUUCGGAUUCAUUGGGCGUAAAGGGUGUGUAGGUGGCGCGCUAAGUCGGGUGUGAAAUUUCGGAGCUUAACUCCGAAACUGCAUUCGAUACUGCGGUGCUUGAGGACUGGAGAGGAGACUGGAAUUCAUGGUGUAGCAGUGAAAUGCGUAGAGAUCCGGAGGAACACCGACGGCGUAGGCAGCGCCCUGGACGACACCUGACGCUGAGGCACGAAAGCUGGGGGAGCGAACAGG